UGCUUGGAAUGUCCAACGGGCUUCUAUUGCCCUGGGGGUCAAAAAGCUCCAAGGAAAUGCCCACUGGGAACAGCCAAUGAACUUACAGCUCAAGUGGACAUCACAGCCUGCCAGGUCUGUCCCAAAGGCUAUCUCAGCCUAGAGAGUGGAGCUGGAUGUCGUGCAUGCCCGGAUGGCUAUUCCUGUGAUCCACGUAAUGGUGUGCAGAGGAGCUGUAAUCCUGGCCAGUAUUCUCCAGAGGGAGAGUUGGAGUGCCUGGAAUGCCCAGAGAGCCAUGUCUGCCCAGAUGGACGGAGCAGGCAGCACUGUUUGGCUGGGCAGGAGCCGGAUCCAAGCCGCACUCGUUGCGUUACCUAUGCCCGUGGUUCUGUCUCAGCUGAAGGCACACUGAUAUGCCAGCCCUGUCCAGCAGGUCACUUCUGUGCUGACAGCCUUACAGGCACUCCUCCAUGCCCAGCAGGGAGCUUCAAGCCCAAAGAGGGGAUUCUCAUGCCCAGCAGCAGCUCUUCGUUCUUACCCGG
Molecule: long non-coding RNA, 521 nt
Filed under: Gallus gallus (chicken)
Lineage: Eukaryota; Metazoa; Chordata; Aves; Galliformes; Phasianidae
Description: long non-coding RNA NONGGAT005240
Source: RNAcentral